Molecule: long non-coding RNA, 2885 nt
Organism: Pungitius pungitius (ninespine stickleback)
Lineage: Eukaryota; Metazoa; Chordata; Actinopteri; Perciformes; Gasterosteidae
Exons: 13
Source: RefSeq, a predicted model, not a curated record
ACACAAAAGGGAUAAACGGAGUGAAAAGUUGGACUGGACGGAGCAAUGCCAGUGAGCGGUUGAGGCGGUGAAACAGGCUCUCUGUGGGGAACCACUGCUCCAACACAUAACUUUUCUCUCCCUUUUAUCUUGCAGACUGAUCCAUCGAACAGAGGGCUGGGGGCGGUUUUGUCCCAGCAGGUGCAGGGGGUGGGCCGCCCGGUCCUCUACAUCAGGCGGAAACUAUCCGAGAGAGAGGCCAGGUACAGUAUGGUUGAGAAGGAGUGCCUGGCCAUCCUGUGGGCGACUCCCUGCGCUACUACCUCCUGGGACACCAACUCACCCUCUGUUCGCCUCGCCCCAAUGGAUCCACCGCAUGAAGGAUACUAACGCCCGGAUCACUCGGUGGGAUCUGGCUCUACAGCUGUUUAACUUCAAGGUGGUCCAUAGGCCGGGGGCGCAGAUGGUCAUGGCUGACUCCCUCUCUCGCCCACAGGAGGGAGAGGGGGGUGGGGGGAGUUGGCCCAAGUCAGGCGGUGGGGGUGUGUGGUGGCGGGGUGUGGUUAGCUCAUCUGCAGAGGGGAGAGCGGUUCAGGGAACGGUGCCGGCAGGUAAGGUAAGGUAGCACAACUGGGCAACAUCAUGACUGAUUUUCUCCCCUUAAAACAGUGAGCAGGACUCGAAUGGGGGAGAGAGACUGAAGCAGGUCCUCAGGGGCAAGGGAGCGGACAUUAGGAAAAUAUUUGUGUUAUUGUAGCUAACAAUGGUUUACAGAACUGAUUGUUUUUAUAUGGGGCAAUUUGGAAUAAGUGAAUAUGGGAUAAAGUGGCAUAUAUCUAUAUAUAAUAGUAGCCAAUUAAAUGCAAUCACCAGGUUUUCUUUUUCUGUUAAUCCUUGCUUCCACCGUGCAGCUAUUUAAAACUUUAACGUAGACCAUUACCCUUUACCCCGUCAAUGAGCCAUGUAGGUGGAGGAGGUUUGGAGGAAUACAGAGUUCACUGUGCCGUCUCAUGGGGAAUCUAAAGAGGGAGCCACAGAGGAUAUCCAGGUACUCUUGGAUGACGGCAUCAUAAAUGUAGGCACGUUGUCAUCUUCUCGCUACGUAGCUCCCGUCAAGUACAGGGUGGACAAAUGGCUGAGACAGCUGACCCUCUUCAACCAAACCCUGGAUGAGUGGCUUACAUGACAAAGAAACUGGCUUUAUCUACAGAGUAUAUUUUGUGGCCCCAGACGUCAAAAGGCAGCUUCCUGCUGAGUCCAAGAUGUUUCAAAAGGUGGACAAAUCAUGGAAGGAGAUAAUGGCAAGGGCCAAUACGAGGCCUAAUGCCCUUGAAGCAGCCACACAGCCCGGUUCAUCUUAUCUAAUGACGAGCUGCUGAAGAUCUUGGCCCAGACAAGAAACCCCCAAGCAGUGCAGCCUCACCUUCGGAAGUGUUUUGAUGCCAUUACCCGACUAGAGUUUGCUUUGCUACCCAAAUCCUCUGGGACCAAGACAUCCUGUACAUGGUUUCCCCUGAUCGAGAGAAGGUGGCUUCGACUCAAGGUCCUAAGGCACAAGGCACUGUGGAGGAUUGGCUUUGCAAGGUGGAGGAGGCUAUGUUCAACUCGUUGCGCUCCCUCAGUAAGGCUGCCAUCGCUGACUACCAGGUGAAGUCUAGAGAGGGAUGGAUGCUGGCCGGACAUCCAUCGCAGGUGGUGCUGACCAUCUCACGGUUGAUGUGGUACAAAGAGAUGGACGCUUGGCUGGAUGGAGACCACGACCACUUAGCUGCCUCGCAGGAAUUCAAACUAACUAACUAACUUUGAUAGGGUGAAUGCCUUGGCGGCAUUGAUUCGUAAUAUCAUCACUUAGGCCCAUCAUAAUCAUAUAAGCCCUCAUCACCAUCGAUGUCCAUGCCAGAGAUAAAGUCAUAGAUGUAGUCCGCCAGAAGGUGGACAACAGGGAUAACUUUGAAUGGCAGACGCAGUUGCGCUACUAUUGGGACCUGGACCAGGACAACUGUGUUGCCAAAAUGGCCCUGUCCACUUCCAUUUACGGCUAUGAAUAUCUGGGAGCCUGUCCUAGACUGGUUAUAACAUAUCUUAUGGACCUUUGCUAUUUGUGCCUGAUGGGGGCUCUCCAAUUAGACCUUGGAGGAGCACCAGCCGGGCCAGCAGGACCGGCAAAACAGAAACCACCAAGGACUUGGCUACGGCCCUGGCAGUUCAAUGUGUGGUCUUUAACUGCUAGGAUGGACUUGACUACAAGAUGAUGGGGCGCUUAUUUAGCGGUCUUGCUCAGUCAAGUGCUUGGGUUUUUUUCCGACGAAUUCAACCAAAUUGACAUGGAAGUGUUGUCUGUCAUCGCUCAGCAACUCAAAACCAAACGAAAUGCCAAAGCGGAUAAGUUUGGGCUCAAUAAUUUCCUGAGUGCGGGCGGAUGAGGUCUGAGCCGAGAAGUUAAUGCAGACUGGGAGGCAUCCUGCCCUUUCCUGAAUACCGUUCAGAAGGCCCUGAGCCACCACUGACUAAACGUACUGAUGGCGAUCCAGAGACGGACACGGGAGUCUGUCUGAGAGACACAACCAGCAAUAGAAGAAUAAAAGUAUUCAGAGCAAACCUGCCGUGUCCUAUUCCAGACCCCCAAGAGUACCUGCGUGUUACAGUGGCGCCCAACGUGGGGCUGGAUAGGCCGUUCGCCUACAGGGAGCGGCUGAAGGACGCAAGGCCGAAAUGAAAACCUGCUUACAAGCACUGAUAAAAUAAACGGAUUCCGUUUAAAGAUGCAGCUCUGGCAACAACAUGUGCAGCGUGGCAACCUUGAGAUGUUCCUGCCCACCGAGAAACGUCACGAUGGCAACACUGCUGCAAUGUGCGAGGUGACCUACUACCUACAGACGGAAUCCUCAUUCAAAGCAACGACCUGA